This 312-nucleotide long non-coding RNA is filed under the name Lathyrus oleraceus (garden pea). RNAcentral's name for it is "Pisum sativum (pea) long non-coding RNA (PSAT_LNC019129)". Lineage: Eukaryota; Viridiplantae; Streptophyta; Magnoliopsida; Fabales; Fabaceae. The record is from RNAcentral.
UCUCUCUCCCUACUACACACUCACGAAAAGAAAACAGAGAAAAAGAAAAGUUGUUUAGCUUUUCCUCUCCACCACACUUUCUUCAUCACCUUCGCCGGUAAACACUCCGCACACCACCGUCCAAACGCCAUAUCACCUUCACUUCCGACACCUCAUACUUACCAUCAAAACCAACAACCGUCUUGGACUACAGCCGUUAACAUCUCCGUCGCCGAACCUUCGUCACCACCAUAAACCCUCCUUAUUCUUCAACUCUCAAACGGCUACUCCUCACAAAUCCUUCCGAUCUCCUUAUUCCGACAAAGCAACCGC